This 460-nucleotide ribosomal RNA is filed under the name uncultured bacterium. RNAcentral's name for it is "partial 16S ribosomal RNA". It matches the Rfam family "Bacterial small subunit ribosomal RNA", at positions 338 to 795 of the family's 1533-position model. The record is from RNAcentral.
CCUACGGGGGGCAGCAGUGAGGAAUAUUGGUCAAUGGACGAGAGUCUGAACCAGCCAAGUAGCGUGAAGGAUGACUGCCCUAUGGGUUGUAAACUUCUUUUAUAUGGGAAUAAAAUGUUCCACGUGUGGGAUUUUGUAUGUACCAUAUGAAUAAGGAUCGGCUAACUCCGUGCCAGCAGCCGCGGUAAUACGGAGGAUCCGAGCGUUAUCCGGAUUUAUUGGGUUUAAAGGGAGCGUAGGUGGAUUGUUAAGUCAGUUGUGAAAGUUUGCGGCUCAACCGUAAAAUUGCAGUUGAAACUGGCAGUCUUGAGUACAGUAGAGGUGGGCGGAAUUCGUGGUGUAGCGGUGAAAUGCUUAUAUAUCACGAAGAACUCCGAUUGCGAAGGCAGUUCACUGGACUGCAACUGACACUGAGGCUCGAAAGUGUGGGUAUCAAACAGGAUUAGAUACCCGAGUAGUC